RNAcentral lists this ribosomal RNA (550 nucleotides) under Alternaria alternata. Its description in RNAcentral is "eukaryotic LSU rRNA". The stretch from base 160 to 313 matches the Rfam family "5.8S ribosomal RNA". Lineage: Eukaryota; Fungi; Ascomycota; Dothideomycetes; Pleosporales; Pleosporaceae. The record is from RNAcentral.
AAUAUGAGGCGGGCUGGACCUCUCGGGGUUACAGCCUUGCUGAAUUAUUCACCCUUGUCUUUUGCGUACUUCUUGUUUCCUUGGUGGGUUCGCCCACCACUAGGACAAACAUAAACCUUUUGUAAUUGCAAUCAGCGUCAGUAACAAAUUAAUAAUUACAACUUUCAACAACGGAUCUCUUGGUUCUGGCAUCGAUGAAGAACGCAGCGAAAUGCGAUAAGUAGUGUGAAUUGCAGAAUUCAGUGAAUCAUCGAAUCUUUGAACGCACAUUGCGCCCUUUGGUAUUCCAAAGGGCAUGCCUGUUCGAGCGUCAUUUGUACCCUCAAGCUUUGCUUGGUGUUGGGCGUCUUGUCUCUAGCUUUGCUGGAGACUCGCCUUAAAGUAAUUGGCAGCCGGCCUACUGGUUUCGGAGCGCAGCACAAGUCGCACUCUCUAUCAGCAAAGGUCUAGCAUCCAUUAAGCCUUUUUUUCAACUUUUGACCUCGGAUCAGGUAGGGAUACCCGCUGAACUUAAGCAUAUCAAUAAGCCGGAGGAAAUUAGGUUACUGUG